Molecule: ribosomal RNA, 427 nt
Filed under: uncultured bacterium
Lineage: Bacteria
Description: bacterial SSU rRNA
Rfam family: Bacterial small subunit ribosomal RNA
Source: RNAcentral
UGGGGAAUUUUGCGCAAUGGGCUAACGCCUGACGCAGCAACGCCGCGUGGAGGAUGAAGGUCCUUGGAUUGUAAACUCCUGUCAGCGGGGAAAAAGGGACUCGACCGAAUACGUCGGGGACUUGAUUGUACCCGCAGAGGAAGCCCCGGCUAACUCUGUGCCAGCAGCCGCGGUAAUACAGAGGGGGCAAGCGUUAUUCGGAAUUAUUGGGCGUAAAGGGCGCGUAGGCGGCGAUUCAAGUGACGGGUGAAAUCCCUCGGCUUAACCGAGGAACUGCCUGUCAGACUGGGUUGCUUGAGGCCGGGGGAGGUGAGUGGAAUUCCCAGUGUAGCGGUGAAAUGCGUAGAUAUUGGAGGAACACCAGUGGCGAAGGCGGCUUCACUGGACCGGUACUGACGCUGAGGCGCGAAAGCGUGGGGAGCAAACA